This 253-nucleotide ribosomal RNA is filed under the name uncultured bacterium. RNAcentral's name for it is "partial 16S ribosomal RNA". It matches the Rfam family "Bacterial small subunit ribosomal RNA", at positions 524 to 776 of the family's 1533-position model. The record is from RNAcentral.
UACGGAGGGUGCAAACGUUGCUCGGAAUUAUUGGGCGUAAAGCGCACGUAGGCGGCCGUCUAAGUCGGGUGUGAAAGCCCAGGGCUCAACCCUGGAAGUGCACUCGAAACUGGACGGCUUGAAUAUGGAAGAGGGUCGCGGAAUUCCCGGUGUAGAGGUGAAAUUCGUAGAUAUCGGGAGGAACACCAGUGGCGAAGGCGGCGACCUGGGCCAAUAUUGACGCUGAGGUGCGAAAGCGUGGGGAGCAAACAGG